UACGUAGGGUGCGAGCGUUGUCCGGAAUUAUUGGGCGUAAAGAGCUCGUAGGCGGUUUGUCGCGUCUGUCGUGAAAGCUUGGGGCUUAACCCCAAGUCUGCGGUGGAUACGGGCAGACUAGAGGCAGGUAGGGGAGAACGGAAUUCCCGGUGUAGCGGUGAAAUGCGCAGAUAUCGGGAGGAACACCGGUGGCGAAGGCGGUUCUCUGGGCCUGUACUGACGCUGAGACGCGAAAGCGUGGGGAGCGAACAGG
Molecule: ribosomal RNA, 253 nt
Filed under: uncultured bacterium
Lineage: Bacteria
Description: partial 16S ribosomal RNA
Rfam family: Bacterial small subunit ribosomal RNA
Source: RNAcentral